UACGUAGGGUCCGAGCGUUGUCCGGAAUUACUGGGCGUAAAGAGCUUGUAGGCGGUUUGUCGCGUCUGCUGUGAAAAUCCGGGGCUCAACCCCGGACUUGCAGUGGGUACGGGCAGACUAGAGUGUGGUAGGGGAGACUGGAAUUCCUGGUGUAGCGGUGAAAUGCGCAGAUAUCAGGAGGAACACCGAUGGCGAAGGCAGGUCUCUGGGCCACUACUGACGCUGAGAAGCGAAAGCAUGGGGAGCGAACAGG
RNAcentral lists this ribosomal RNA (253 nucleotides) under uncultured bacterium. RNAcentral's name for it is "partial 16S ribosomal RNA". It matches the Rfam family "Bacterial small subunit ribosomal RNA", at positions 524 to 776 of the family's 1533-position model. The record is from RNAcentral.